This 348-nucleotide unclassified non-coding RNA is filed under the name soil metagenome. RNAcentral describes it as "partial contains 5.8S ribosomal RNA, internal transcribed spacer 2, and large subunit ribosomal RNA". The stretch from base 1 to 120 matches the Rfam family "5.8S ribosomal RNA", at positions 35 to 154 of the family's 154-position model. The record is from RNAcentral.
GAUGAAGAACGUAGCGAAAUGCGAUAAGUAAUGUGAAUUGCAGAAUUCAGUGAAUCAUCGAAUCUUUGAACGCACAUUGCGCCCGCCAAUAUUCUGGCGGGCAUGCCUGUCUGAGCGUCAUUUCAACCCUCAUGCCCCUAGGGCGUGGUGUUGGGGAUCGGCCAAAGCCCGCGAGGGACGGCCGGCCCCUAAAUCUAGUGGCGGACCCGUCGUGGCCUCCUCUGCGAAGUAGUGAUAUUCCGCAUCGGAGAGCGACGAGCCCCUGCCGUUAAACCCCCAACUUUCCAAGGUUGACCUCAGAUCAGGUAGGAAUACCCGCUGAACUUAAGCAUAUCAAUAAGCGGAGGA